RNAcentral lists this ribosomal RNA (425 nucleotides) under uncultured bacterium. Its description in RNAcentral is "partial 16S ribosomal RNA". It matches the Rfam family "Bacterial small subunit ribosomal RNA", at positions 354 to 796 of the family's 1533-position model. The record is from RNAcentral.
GUGGGGAAUAUUGGGCAAUGGGCGAAAGCCUGACCCAGCAACGCCGCGUGAAGGAAGAAGGUCUUCGGAUCGUAAACUUCUAUCCUUGGUGAAGAUAAUGACGGUAGCCGAGAAGGAAGCCCCGGCUAACUACGUGCCAGCAGCCGCGGUAAUACGUAGGGGGCAAGCGUUGUCCGGAAUGAUUGGGCGUAAAGGGCGCGUAGGCGGCCUGGUAAGUCUGGAGUGAAAGUCCUGCUUUUAAGGUGGGAAUUGCUUUGGAUACUGUCGGGCUUGAGUGCAGGAGAGGUAAGUGGAAUUCCCGGUGUAGCGGUGAAAUGCGUAGAGAUCGGGAGGAACACCAGUGGCGAAGGCGGCUUACUGGACUGUAACUGACGCUGAGGCGCGAAAGUGUGGGGAGCAAACAGGAUUAGAUACCCUGGUAGUCC